This 377-nucleotide unclassified non-coding RNA is filed under the name plant metagenome. RNAcentral's name for it is "partial contains 5.8S ribosomal RNA, internal transcribed spacer 2, and large subunit ribosomal RNA". The stretch from base 1 to 104 matches the Rfam family "5.8S ribosomal RNA", at positions 51 to 154 of the family's 154-position model. The record is from RNAcentral.
AAAUGCGAUAAGUAAUGUGAAUUGCAGAAUUCAGUGAAUCAUCGAAUCUUUGAACGCACCUUGCGUUCCUUGGUAUUCCUUGGAGCAUGCCUGUUUGAGUAUCAUGAAAUCUUCAAAGUAAAUCUUUUGUUAACUCAAUUGGUUUCUACUUUGGUAUUGGAGGUCUUUGCAGCUUCACACCUGCUCCUCUUUGUUCAUUAGCUGGAUCUCAGUGUUAUGCUUGGUUCCACUCGGCGUGAUAAGUUAUCUAUCGCUGAGGACACUGUAAAAGGUGGCCAAGGUAAAUGCAGAUGAACCGCUUCUAAUAGUCCAUUGACUUGGACAAUACUUUUAUGAUCUGAUCUCAAAUCAGGUAGGACUACCCGCUGAACUUAAGC